UUACGACCAGAUCAAGUUGAAACAUCAGUUCUUGUACGAUCACUGAAGUUAAACAACGUCGACCUUGGUCAGUACCUAGAUUGGUGACCGCUUGGGAAUAUUAGAUGCUGUAAG
Acanthosepion pharaonis is the source of this 114-nucleotide non-coding RNA. The record is from the annotation of a GenBank genome assembly. Lineage: Eukaryota; Metazoa; Mollusca; Cephalopoda; Sepiida; Sepiidae.